RNAcentral lists this unclassified non-coding RNA (3362 nucleotides) under Helicoverpa zea (corn earworm). RNAcentral describes it as "general transcription factor IIH subunit 1, transcript variant X2". Lineage: Eukaryota; Metazoa; Arthropoda; Insecta; Lepidoptera; Noctuidae. The record is from RNAcentral.
UCAAAUCCUCUAAUGGUCGACGGACUGUGAUAUGCUUUUUGUAGAUAGAAUUUCAUAAUUCUUCGUUUUUAUACUCGAAAUAAACGUUCACAUUGAGAGAUACACGAGAAUUUCACAAAUUAAAACUUAAAAAUCGCGCUAAGCACCAUGAGGAGCCGAUAAAAUCGAGUUAAAAUUUGCACGUAGCGAUAGGAAGAGCUCGAGCACUAUAGUUUUAACGUUUUAUAACUUUUUCAUGUUAAAACUGUUGAUAUUGUGGUUUGAGUAGUGAAGAUUGAAGAUGACUACGUCUUCUGAGGACGUUUUGCUCAGCGUGAGCUACGUGAGGUACAAGAAGGGUGAUGGGACUUUGUAUGUUAUGAACCAAAGGCUAGCUUGGAUGUUGGAAAACAGAGAUACAGUCGCUGUAUCACAUAAAUAUGCUGAUAUUAAGACACAAAAAAUAUCCCCAGCAGGCAAACCAAAGGUGCAGCUGCAAGUGGUGUUACACGAUGGUACGUGUUCCACAUUCCACUUUGUCAAUCCUGCUGGGGCGGAGGCCCAAGCCAAAGACCGGGAUCAGGUUAAGAUGUUGCUGCAGAACUUACUACCAAAGUUUAAGAGACAAAUCGAUGGGGAGCUCGAAAUGAAGUCUAGAUUGUUAUCCCUGCACCCUACGUUAAAGCAUUUAUAUGAAGACUUGGUGAUAUCGAAGGUGAUCAAUAGUGAAGAGUACUGGAAUACGCCCACACUCAAAACUUAUACCGAAUCUAAUAAUAUUAAGCAGGAGGCUGGUGUAUCCGGAGCAUUUUUAGCGGAUAUCCAGCCACAAACGGACGGCUGUAACGGCCUGAAAUAUAACCUCACGCAAGAUAUCAUAGACGCCAUAUUUAAAACUUAUCCCGCUGUCAGAAAGAAACACAUUGAUUAUGUGCCCAACAAGAUGACUGAAGCAGAGUUUUGGACCAAGUUUUUUCAGUCUCAUUAUUUUCAUAGAGACCGUAUCGCCUCAUCGUCUAGCAAAGAUUUGUUCGGAGAAUGUGCCAAAAUGGAUGACCAAGCCAUUGCAUCAGCUAUGAAACACACUACUUUAGAUCUCACUGUGGACCUACCACAAUUCACGGAAAACAUACCUCUUUUACCGACGGAAGACGACGCGCCGCCAGAGAAGGACAGAGGGGAUAACACCUCCAUACACAGGAACAUGAUCAAGCGGUUCAACCAACACUCUAUUAUGGUGCUCAAAGCUAGUCAUAAAACAAAUUCUAGUAAUAAUAAUAAUAACAGUAGUAGUAAAACGACGAAUAACAACAAAGUUGUUGAGAAUGGCGUCAAGGAAUCGAAUGGAGUAGCAGAGAAGAGAACAGCAGAUAGUAAUACAGAAGCUCCUGAUAAGAAGAAGAGGAUAUUAGAGAAGAUACAUUAUGAAGAUUUAGAAGAUAGAAAGGGGAAUGAGGAUACGCAGGAAUUGAAAUUGUCGAAGGUAGAACGAUAUCUCCUUGGCCCAUCGUCUCAGACACACCAAACACACACGCAUACAAAUAAUCCACCACCUUUAUCUGCGCUCGCGUCGAUAUGUCAAGCGUGGUCGAGCGGGCAGCAAUGUCAGCGUCCGGUGCGGGUGAGCGCGGGGGCCUGCGUGGGAGCGCUGGGCGAGCUCAGCCCCGGCGGCGCCCUCAUGCGCCACCACCACGCCGCCUCCAUGGCACGUGAGUACUGCGACAUGUGACACAGUGUAGGCAGCAGUGCAGCGGCCGGUGCGGGUGGCGAGCUCAGCCCCGGCGGCGCCCUCAUGCGCCACCACCACGCCGCCUCCAUGGCACGUGAGUACUGCGACAUGUGACACAGUGUAGGCAGCAGUGCAGCGGCCGGUGCGGGUGGCGAGCUCAGCCCCGGCGGCGCCCUCAUGCGCCACCACCACGCCGCCUCCAUGGCACGUGAGUACUGCGACAUGUGACACAGUGUAGGCAGCAGUGCAGCGGCCGGUGCGGGUGGCGAGCUCAGCCCCGGCGGCGCCCUCAUGCGCCACCACCACGCCGCCUCCAUGGCACGUGAGUACUGCGACAUGUGACACAGUGUAGGCAGCAGUGCAGCGGCCGGUGCGGGUGGCGAGCUCAGCCCCGGCGGCGCCCUCAUGCGCCACCACCACGCCGCCUCCAUGGCACGUGAGUACUGCGACAUGUGACACAGUGUAGGCAGCAGUGCAGCGGCCGGUGCGGGUGGCGAGCUCAGCCCCGGCGGCGCCCUCAUGCGCCACCACCACGCCGCCUCCAUGGCACGUGAGUACUGCGACAUGUGACACAGUGUAGGCAGCAGUGCAGCGGCCGGUGCGGGUGGCGAGCUCAGCCCCGGCGGCGCCCUCAUGCGCCACCACCACGCCGCCUCCAUGGCACGUGAGUACUGCGACAUGUGACACAGUGUAGGCAGCAGUGCAGCGGCCGGUGCGGGUGGCGAGCUCAGCCCCGGCGGCGCCCUCAUGCGCCACCACCACGCCGCCUCCAUGGCACGUGAGUACUGCGACAUGUGACACAGUGUAGGCAGCAGUGCAGCGGCCGGUGCGGGUGGCGAGCUCAGCCCCGGCGGCGCCCUCAUGCGCCACCACCACGCCGCCUCCAUGGCACGUGAGUACUGCGACAUGUGACACAGUGUAGGCAGCAGUGCAGCGGCCGGUGCGGGUGGCGAGCUCAGCCCCGGCGGCGCCCUCAUGCGCCACCACCACGCCGCCUCCAUGGCACGUGAGUACUGCGACAUGUGACACAGUGUAGGCAGCAGUGCAGCGGCCGGUGCGGGUGGCGAGCUCAGCCCCGGCGGCGCCCUCAUGCGCCACCACCACGCCGCCUCCAUGGCACGUGAGUACUGCGACAUGUGACACAGUGUAGGCAGCAGUGCAGCGGCCGGUGCGGGUGGCGAGCUCAGCCCCGGCGGCGCCCUCAUGCGCCACCACCACGCCGCCUCCAUGGCACGUGAGUACUGCGACAUGUGACACAGUGUAGGCAGCAGUGCAGCGGCCGGUGCGGGUGGCGAGCUCAGCCCCGGCGGCGCCCUCAUGCGCCACCACCACGCCGCCUCCAUGGCACGUGAGUACUGCGACAUGUGACACAGUGUAGGCAGCAGUGCAGCGGCCGGUGCGGGUGGCGAGCUCAGCCCCGGCGGCGCCCUCAUGCGCCACCACCACGCCGCCUCCAUGGCACAAUUAAUACCACCCGACGUGAAAUCAGAACUCCAUCGUAUCUACCUCUCCGGUGGGGAGUUGCUACGGGAACUAUGGCGGUGUUUCCCACAGCCCGGGGCGGCGACCGACACGGAAGAUACCACGGCCAGAGCAGAGAAGUUCUAUGAAGCCCUGUUAAGAUUUAGGAAUGUUAAAUUGAGGCCUUUUGAGG